UACGGAGGGUGCAAGCAUUAAUCGGAUUUAUUGGGCGUAAAGGGCGCGUAGGCGGGGAAGUAAGUCAGAUGUGAAAGCCCAGGGCUCAACCCUGGAACAGCAUUUGAAACUGCUUUUCUAGAGGGUAGACGGAGAAAACAGAAUUCCACGUGUAGCGGUGAAAUGCGUAGAUAUGUGGAGGAAUACCGGUGGCGAAGGCGGUUUUCUAGUUUAUUCCUGACGCUAAUGCGCGAAAGCAAGGGGAGCAAACAGG
RNAcentral lists this ribosomal RNA (253 nucleotides) under uncultured bacterium. RNAcentral's name for it is "partial 16S ribosomal RNA". It matches the Rfam family "Bacterial small subunit ribosomal RNA", at positions 524 to 776 of the family's 1533-position model. The record is from RNAcentral.